UACGGGAGGCAGCAGUGGGGAAUAUUGCACAAUGGGCGCAAGCCUGAUGCAGCCAUGCCGCGUGUAUGAAGAAGGCCUUCGGGUUGUAAAGUACUUUCAGUCGUGAGGAAGGUGUUAAGGUUAAUAACCUUAGCAAUUGACGUUAGCGACAGAAGAAGCACCGGCUAACUCCGUGCCAGCAGCCGCGGUAAUACGGAGGGUGCGAGCGUUAAUCGGAAUUACUGGGCGUAAAGGGCACGCAGGCGGUUAAUUAAGUUGGAUGUGAAAUCCCCGGGCUUAACCUGGGAAUGGCAUUCAAGACUGGUUAGCUAGAGUCUUGGUAGAGGGGGUAGAAUUCCAUGUGUAGCGGUGAAAUGCGUAGAGAUGUGGAGGAAUACCGGUGGCGAAGGCGGCCCCUGGGACAAAGACUGACGCUCAUGUGCGAAAGCGUGGGGAGCAAACAGGGAUUAGAUACC
Molecule: ribosomal RNA, 455 nt
Filed under: uncultured bacterium
Lineage: Bacteria
Description: bacterial SSU rRNA
Rfam family: Bacterial small subunit ribosomal RNA
Source: RNAcentral